GGGCAGGCACGCCAAAAUGUGACUUAUCUCCCUUUCAACGGUAAGCUAAGCUCAGUAUCAUCAUUACAGAAUCAACCCUCGCCGGUUUCGGUGAGGGUUUUUCUUUGUA
Non-coding RNA from Cedecea davisae DSM 4568, 109 nucleotides. NCBI's taxonomy places the organism in Bacteria, Pseudomonadati, Pseudomonadota, Gammaproteobacteria, Enterobacterales, Enterobacteriaceae. The record is from Rfam.